This 2904-nucleotide ribosomal RNA is filed under the name Escherichia coli. RNAcentral describes it as "partial 23S ribosomal RNA". It matches the Rfam family "Bacterial large subunit ribosomal RNA". The record is from RNAcentral. Lineage: Bacteria; Pseudomonadati; Pseudomonadota; Gammaproteobacteria; Enterobacterales; Enterobacteriaceae.
GGGUUGUGAGGUUAAGCGACUAAGCGUACACGGUGGAUGCCCUGGCAGUCAGAGGCGAUGAAGGACGUGCUAAUCUGCGAUAAGCGUCGGUAAGGUGAUAUGAACCGUUAUAACCGGCGAUUUCCGAAUGGGGAAACCCAGUGUGAUUCGUCACACUAUCAUUAACUGAAUCCAUAGGUUAAUGAGGCGAACCGGGGGAACUGAAACAUCUAAGUACCCCGAGGAAAAGAAAUCAACCGAGAUUCCCCCAGUAGCGGCGAGCGAACGGGGAGCAGCCCAGAGCCUGAAUCAGUGUGUGUGUUAGUGGAAGCGUCUGGAAAGGCGCGCGAUACAGGGUGACAGCCCCGUACACAAAAAUGCACAUGCUGUGAGCUCGAUGAGUAGGGCGGGACACGUGGUAUCCUGUCUGAAUAUGGGGGGACCAUCCUCCAAGGCUAAAUACUCCUGACUGACCGAUAGUGAACCAGUACCGUGAGGGAAAGGCGAAAAGAACCCCGGCGAGGGGAGUGAAAAAGAACCUGAAACCGUGUACGUACAAGCAGUGGGAGCACGCUUAGGCGUGUGACUGCGUACCUUUUGUAUAAUGGGUCAGCGACUUAUAUUCUGUAGCAAGGUUAACCGAAUAGGGGAGCCGAAGGGAAACCGAGUCUUAACUGGGCGUUAAGUUGCAGGGUAUAGACCCGAAACCCGGUGAUCUAGCCAUGGGCAGGUUGAAGGUUGGGUAACACUAACUGGAGGACCGAACCGACUAAUGUUGAAAAAUUAGCGGAUGACUUGUGGCUGGGGGUGAAAGGCCAAUCAAACCGGGAGAUAGCUGGUUCUCCCCGAAAGCUAUUUAGGUAGCGCCUCGUGAAUUCAUCUCCGGGGGUAGAGCACUGUUUCGGCAAGGGGGUCAUCCCGACUUACCAACCCGAUGCAAACUGCGAAUACCGGAGAAUGUUAUCACGGGAGACACACGGCGGGUGCUAACGUCCGUCGUGAAGAGGGAAACAACCCAGACCGCCAGCUAAGGUCCCAAAGUCAUGGUUAAGUGGGAAACGAUGUGGGAAGGCCCAGACAGCCAGGAUGUUGGCUUAGAAGCAGCCAUCAUUUAAAGAAAGCGUAAUAGCUCACUGGUCGAGUCGGCCUGCGCGGAAGAUGUAACGGGGCUAAACCAUGCACCGAAGCUGCGGCAGCGACGCUGAUGCGUUGUUGGGUAGGGGAGCGUUCUGUAAGCCUGUGAAGGUGUGCUGUGAGGCAUGCUGGAGGUAUCAGAAGUGCGAAUGCUGACAUAAGUAACGAUAAAGCGGGUGAAAAGCCCGCUCGCCGGAAGACCAAGGGUUCCUGUCCAACGUUAAUCGGGGCAGGGUGAGUCGACCCCUAAGGCGAGGCCGAAAGGCGUAGUCGAUGGGAAACAGGUUAAUAUUCCUGUACUUGGUGUUACUGCGAAGGGGGGACGGAGAAGGCUAUGUUGGCCGGGCGACGGUUGUCCCGGUUUAAGCGUGUAGGCUGGUUUUCCAGGCAAAUCCGGAAAAUCAAGGCUGAGGCGUGAUGACGAGGCACUACGGUGCUGAAGCAACAAAUGCCCUGCUUCCAGGAAAAGCCUCUAAGCAUCAGGUAACAUCAAAUCGUACCCCAAACCGACACAGGUGGUCAGGUAGAGAAUACCAAGGCGCUUGAGAGAACUCGGGUGAAGGAACUAGGCAAAAUGGUGCCGUAACUUCGGGAGAAGGCACGCUGAUAUGUAGGUGAAGUCCCUCGCGGAUGGAGCUGAAAUCAGUCGAAGAUACCAGCUGGCUGCAACUGUUUAUUAAAAACACAGCACUGUGCAAACACGAAAGUGGACGUAUACGGUGUGACGCCUGCCCGGUGCCGGAAGGUUAAUUGAUGGGGUCAGCGCAAGCGAAGCUCUUGAUCGAAGCCCCGGUAAACGGCGGCCGUAACUAUAACGGUCCUAAGGUAGCGAAAUUCCUUGUCGGGUAAGUUCCGACCUGCACGAAUGGCGUAAUGAUGGCCAGGCUGUCUCCACCCGAGACUCAGUGAAAUUGAACUCGCUGUGAAGAUGCAGUGUACCCGCGGCAAGACGGAAAGACCCCGUGAACCUUUACUAUAGCUUGACACUGAACAUUGAGCCUUGAUGUGUAGGAUAGGUGGGAGGCUUUGAAGUGUGGACGCCAGUCUGCAUGGAGCCGGCCUUGAAAUACCACCCUUUAAUGUUUGAUGUUCUAACGUUGACCCGUGAUCCGGGUUGCGGACAGUGUCUGGUGGGUAGUUUGACUGGGGCGGUCUCCUCCUAAAGAGUAACGGAGGAGCACGAAGGUUGGCUAAUCCUGGUCGGACAUCAGGAGGUUAGUGCAAUGGCAUAAGCCAGCUUGACUGCGAGCGUGACGGCGCGAGCAGGUGCGAAAGCAGGUCAUAGUGAUCCGGUGGUUCUGAAUGGAAGGGCCAUCGCUCAACGGAUAAAAGGUACUCCGGGGAUAACAGGCUGAUACCGCCCAAGAGUUCAUAUCGACGGCGGUGUUUGGCACCUCGAUGUCGGCUCAUCACAUCCUGGGGCUGAAGUAGGUCCCAAGGGUAUGGCUGUUCGCCAUUUAAAGUGGUACGCGAGCUGGGUUUAGAACGUCGUGAGACAGUUCGGUCCCUAUCUGCCGUGGGCGCUGGAGAACUGAGGGGGGCUGCUCCUAGUACGAGAGGACCGGAGUGGACGCAUCACUGGUGUUCGGGUUGUCAUGCCAAUGGCACUGCCCGGUAGCUAAAUGCGGAAGAGAUAAGUGCUGAAAGCAUCUAAGCACGAAACUUGCCCCGAGAUGAGUUCUCCCUGACUCCUUGAGAGUCCUGAAGGAACGUUGAAGACGACGACGUUGAUAGGCCGGGUGUGUAAGCGCAGCGAUGCGUUGAGCUAACCGGUACUAAUGAACCGUGAGG